This 2699-nucleotide long non-coding RNA is filed under the name Oryza sativa (Asian cultivated rice). Its description in RNAcentral is "long non-coding RNA (OSAT_LNC001806)". The stretch from base 1473 to 1567 matches the Rfam family "MIR1862 microRNA precursor family". The record is from RNAcentral. Lineage: Eukaryota; Viridiplantae; Streptophyta; Magnoliopsida; Poales; Poaceae.
GGCUGCGGUGUACGGCGCCGGCGGCGCGAUGAAGGGCGGGAAGCUCGGCAUGGAGGAGGCGCGGGAGCUGCAGCUCAACCGCAUCCGCAUCACCCUCUCCUCCAAGAACGUCAAGAACCUCGAGAAGGGUAAUCCAUUCUUUCUCUUUUUCUUCUAUAGUUUCAGUUCGUUGUCGUUCAGAGAGGAUUAGAUUAGAUCGGAUUUUUUUUUGCUGAGAGCGCGAAGCUGAUUCGUGUGUUUAUGGUUGCAGUUUGCGCUGAUCUGGUGAAGGGCGCCAAGGACAAGCAGCUGCGCGUCAAGGGCCCCGUCAGGAUCCCCACCAAGGUGCUCCACAUCACCACCCGCAAGUCGCCGUGCGGUGAAGGUAUUGACCAGUUGCAGCCACCUCUAAUUGCAAUGCUUGAUUGGGUUUGAAUCCAUUUGUUUUUGUGGUAUGUUUCGACUCAUGGGUAUAGCUUUGGUUUAGGUGGUUAGGAAAUGGAUUGGUGGAGACAGAUGCCACUGUAUAGAUGCCAGUGUAUAGAUGCUUGGUUAAGCUAGAUCCUGGUCUAAAUUAGUGCUCUUGGUUGGUGACUAGUGUGGAUUGUGUGACCAUUGGAAUCAUUUAGUCAAAACUAUUUGAUUUUUCAGGCAAUCUCUUUGUUGAAAUUUGCCUUAGUUAGAGUACUUCACUAAGUGUUAUUGUUGUAUGGCCAUGUUCUUAUAGUGACUUUCGGCUAUCUAAAAUCUGCAAUAAAGACUACCAGCAACAAGUUGCCACCAAAAUGUAAUGAAGGAUGAAUGUUUAAGUUUUCGAGUGAAAGCACAUGGUAUAGCAAGUUGAGUAGAAGGGUUACUAUUGGAGGUUUGUGGUGAAUAAGUUUGGUUUACCUGUUCUUUGUCGACCCAACCAUUUCAUCACCCAACCAUUUCAUGCAUGGAGAUGGAUGGGCAGCGGGAUAGCAAGCGAUGGACACUGUCAAGCUACAACAAACUAGGAUAUUCCUAUGUUAUUCACUUCUAGAUAAGGGAAUGAUCUAGAGGCAAGCUCAGAAAACUUGCCGUUACCCCCACAGUCUCAUAUUAAGGGGGCAGAAUAUACAGACGUUUCUUCAAUUUUAGUGUUAUUAUUCUCCACAUGUCAUAAUUUUAAAGAUAGCCAAGCCAAGUUCUGAAGUCAAGAAGGUUUAGUAAGAUUUUGUUUAGCAGGGAUUUGGAAGGCACAUAUGUUGGUAUUCUAUUGGAAUGCAAGUGGGCUGGCUUUUGAACCCAUUUAUGGGCUAUUCAAGUGGGUAAACCAUAGGUUGGUGCACUUAAAUGGCCUAUAAGUGGGUUUGUGGGCUGGCCCUCUUGUAUCCUGAUAGUUUAGUAUGAUUGGUAAUAAUAGCAAUGCUACUUUUAAAUUUAAGGUUUGUUAUGGACUAGUGAUAACUGUUAUGGGAUCGAGUACCAGUGGCACAAGAAACUACUGGCUAGUCUCGUAGCUUGCUAGGUACUCCCUCUGUCCCAAAAUAAACAAAGCUAGUACGGGGAUGUGGCACUUCCUAGUCCUGUACUAGGUUUGUUUAUUUUGGGACGGAGGGAGUAUCAUAGUUUGUUACUCCUCUGGUUACUAUUUAUCUUUUUGGCUCCUAACCUACAAAGGUCGCAGUGUAGUAAAACCUCCUGCCCAAAAUGUAGCUCUCUUUGGCUUUGAAUCUGGAUAUGAACUUGUCUAGAUUCAUAGCUAGAUAUAGUUACACCUUGGGAUGGAUGUAGUAUUGUACUCCCUCUGUUUUUAAAUGUAUGACGCUGUUGACUUUUAGAUAUAUGUUGACAAUUCGUCUUAUUCAAAAAAUCGAGCAAAUAUAAAAAUAUAAGUGAGGCUUAAGGUAUAUUUGAUGAUAAAACAAGUCAUGGCAAAAUUAAUGAUACCUGUAUAACUUUUUUGAGUAAGACGAGUGGUCAAACGUAGAUUUAAAAGUCAACGGUGUCAUAUAUUUAUAAAUGGAGGUAGUAUUAGAGAAGGAAUCCAUUGAUAAACAAGAUUAGUGCUCUUCCCACUAUUAUAGCAACCAUAGGCUCGAAGCCUGCAUUGCGCAAGAGACUUGGUUGCAAAAAGACAUCACUAAACUAAAGGAUCAAACUUUACGCCCAUUUAAGUGGACAUGUGAGUUUGUUUCAUGGGAUUUAUUAUUAUGUGAAUUCAUUGAUUUGUUAAUUGGACAAAGUACAUGAUAUGUUUAACUUGUAAUGUAUAUCCUUUUUGUGUGCCAAUCAUCCUGUACCCCUGUUUACCUAUGCUCAUGUAGUUGUAGCAUAUUGUUCUGAUGAUUGACAGUUUUUUUACUUUCAUGCUUAUCUUUCAUCAAUAUAUCUUCAGGUCAGUUUAUGCUUGCAACAGUUAAACUGGACGCUCUUUGUUAGAUGAAACCACUUUGGAUGCUAGUUGCUUAAGCUAGGGAAAUUUGCUGACAUCUUGUUGGCUUAACUUCACAUUGGUUGGGUUUUCUUGUGCUAAUUCAGGACUAUUUUGCGUUCUUUUCUGACCAGGAACAAACACAUGGGAUCGUUUCGAGUUCCGCAUCCACAAGCGGGUGAUCGAUCUCAUCAGCUCCCCAGAUGUUGUGAAGCAGAUCACCUCCAUCACCAUCGAGCCUGGUGUCGAGGUCGAGGUGACGAUCGCUGAUGUGUAAUGCUGCCAAACUAGCACUACCUUAGACCUACCUGUCUUGUUUCUC